RNAcentral lists this ribosomal RNA (440 nucleotides) under uncultured bacterium. RNAcentral describes it as "partial 16S ribosomal RNA". It matches the Rfam family "Bacterial small subunit ribosomal RNA", at positions 338 to 795 of the family's 1533-position model. The record is from RNAcentral.
CCUACGGGAGGCAGCAGUGGGGAAUAUUGCACAAUGGGGGCAACCCUGAUGCAGCGACGCCGCGUGAGCGAUGAAGUAUUUCGGUAUGUAAAGCUCUAUCAGCAGGGAAGAAAAUGACGGUACCUGGCUAAGAAGCCCCUGCUAAAUACGUGACAGCAGCCGCGGUACGACGUAGGGGGCAAGCUUUAACCGAGUUUACUGGGUGUAAAGGGAGCGUAGCGGGUUCGGCAAGCCAGAUGGGAAAGCCCGGGGCUUAACCCCGGGACUGCAUUUGAAAGGGUAAGGCUAGAGUGUCGAAGAGGCAGGCGGAAUGCCUAGUGUAGCGGUGAAAUGCGUAGAUAUUAGGAGGAACACCAGUGGCGAAGGCGGCCUGCUGGACGAUGACUGACGUUGAGGCUCGAAAGCGUGGGGAGCAAACAGGAUUAGAUACCCUAGUAGUC